This 998-nucleotide long non-coding RNA is filed under the name Fukomys damarensis (Damara mole-rat). Its description in RNAcentral is "lncRNA (ENSFDAG00000026705.1)". Lineage: Eukaryota; Metazoa; Chordata; Mammalia; Rodentia; Bathyergidae. The record is from RNAcentral.
AUAAUACUGUAACUUGCCAACCAGAACCCGCUUCACUUUUCAGGGCUGCAUACUGUCCCACCACACAUCCUGUGAAUCCAUAGCUGCUGCCCUGGGGACUGUCUGCCACAGACAGUCAUGGAGUUCCUUGUGCUCUCAUACUAUCACCUCGCUGGGGUGAACGCACCUUGCACCUUUAUGUGAGAUAAAUCACGUCCCGUGGAGUUGUGUUAAGUGAAUGAAGAACCAAGAACAGCAGAGCCGCCGACGGGGGAUGGCGAGAACACGGACCUCACGUUGGAAAGCAGUGAGGCCGCUGGAGUCAGCAUCGCAGUGGGAGAUGGCAGUGAAGAGCCAAAGCAGGUGCCGCCAUCUGGCAGUGCUGUGACCUCGGGGGAGGCCUGUGCCCUGGAGCUCCUCCACGUUCAGCCUUUAAAUCAGCAGAUCCACAGAAGGGAUCUGGAAGCCGCCUUCAUCAUCAGGAUUGAGAACAAAGCACAGGCGCUGGUGUUGGCCUGCCUGGCGCGGCUGCUGGGGUCCGGAGAUCAGGAAGGAGGAGCUGAGGAGAGGACCGAGGUAGGAAUUGAGGAGGCAGAGGAGAAGGGAGCCAGGACGGAAGUCUCGGCACCCAGGCCCCGGACUGGAAACUCCCAGGGCCCCUGGAGCCCCGUGGUGGCGCUGCCGGCUCUGUACCCCCUCCUUGUAUGGCUCUGGGUCUCCAAGCCCCAGUGGGUGCCCGGGUCCCCUGCUCUGCAAGCAGCAGUGAGGUCCUGGUGCUGGGGGCCACGCAUGUCCCCAGGUCUUCGAGGAACAGCGGGGUCACUCGCUAAGCUGUCGGCCAGCCAGGGUCUCUACUGCACCUGGAGGAGCUUCUUUGCUCCCCUUCCCUGGGGGCUGUGGCGCGAACCCAGGCACAGGGCGCUGUCACUGGGGGCUGCUCACACCGUGAGCUCUAGAGAGCUGCGGGGAGCGCGGGUGUUUCUAGUUUCAGAAACAGGGGGUGCACCGUCCCCUACAGA